CAGCACCUCAAGUGGUCAGGAUGAUUAUUGGGCCUAAAGCAUCCGUAGCCGGCGCUGUAAGUUUUCGGUUAAAUCUGUACGCUCAACGUACAGGCUGCCGGGAAUACUGCAGCGCUAGGGAGUGGGAGAGGUAGACGGUACUCGGUAGGAAGGGGUAAAAUCCUUUGAUCUGUUGAUGACCACCUGUGGCGAAGGCGGUCUACCAGAACACGUCCGACGGUGAGGGAUGAAAGCUGGGGGAGCAAACCGGAUUAGAUACCCGAGUAGUCC
This 270-nucleotide ribosomal RNA is filed under the name uncultured archaeon. Its description in RNAcentral is "partial 16S ribosomal RNA". It matches the Rfam family "Archaeal small subunit ribosomal RNA", at positions 477 to 747 of the family's 1478-position model. The record is from RNAcentral.